CCCUGUUCUGUAACACCCCUCUGCAGUAGAUGAAUAUUGUCCCUGCUGGGUGACACCCCUCUGCAGUAGAUGAAUAUCCUCCCUGCUGGGUGACACCCCUCUGCAGUGGAUUAAUAUCCUCCCUGCUGGGUGACACCCCUCUGCAGUGGAUUAAUAUCCUCCCUGCUGGGUGACACCCCUCUGCAGUGGAUUAAUAUCCUCCCUGCUGGGUGACACCCCUCUGCAGUAGAUGAAUAUCCUCCCUACUGGGUGACACCCCUCUGCAGUGGAUUAAUAUCCCUCCCUGCUGGGUGACACCCCUCUGCAGUAGAUGAAUAUCCUCCCUGCUGGGUGACACCCCUCUGCAGUAGAUGAAUAUCCUCCCUGCUGUGACAUUAGCCUUUCCCUCUGUUGUCCCAGGUUGUGACAUUAGCCUUUCCCUCUGUUGUCCCAGGUUGUGACAUUAGCCUUUCCCUCUGUUGUCCCAGGUUGUGACAUUAGCCUUUCCCUCUGUUGUCCCAGGUUGUGACAUUAGCCUUUCCCUCUGUUGUCCCAGGUUGUGACAUUAGCCUUUCCCUCUGUUGUCCCAGGUUGUGACAUUAGCCUUUCCCUCUGUUGUCCCAGGUUGUGACAUUAGCCUUUCCCUCUGUUGUCCCAGGUUGUGACAUUAGCCUUUCCCUCUGUUGUCCCAGGUUGUGACAUUAGCCUUUCCCUCUGUUGUCCCAGGUUGUGACAUUAGCCUUUCCCUCUGUUGUCCCAGGUUGUGACAUUAGCCUUUCCCUCUGUUGUCCCAGGUUGUGACAUUAGCCUUUCCCUCUGUUGUCCCAGGUUGUGACAUUAGCCUUUCCCUCUGUUGUCCCAGGUUGUGACAUUAGCCUUUCCCUCUGUUGUCCCAGGUUGUGACAUUAGCCUUUCCCUCUGUUGUCCCAGGUUGUGACAUUAGCCUUUCCCUCUGUUGUCCCAGGUUGUGACAUUAGCCUUUCCCUCUGUUGUCCCAGGUUGUGACAUUAGCCUUUCCCUCUGUUGUCCCAGGUUGUGACAUUAGCCUUUCCCUCUGUUGUCCCAGGUUGUGACAUUAGCCUUUCCCUCUGUUGUCCCAGGUUGUGACAUUAGCCUUUCCCUCUGUUGUGACAUUAGCCUUUCCCUCUGUUGUGACAUUAGCCUUUCCCUCUGUUGUGACAUUAGCCUUUCCCUCUGUUGUGACAUUAGCCUUUCCCUCUGUUGUGACUUUAGCCUUUCCCUCUGUUGUGACUUUAGCCUUUCUCUCUGUUGUGACUUUAGCCUUUCUCUCUGUUGUGACUUUAGCCUUUCCCUCUGUUGUGACUUUAGCCUUUCCCUCUGUUGUGACUUUAGCCUUUCUCUCUGUUGUGACUUUAGCCUUUCUCUCUGUUGUGACUUUAGCCUUUCCCUCUGUUGUGACUUUAGCCUUUCCCUCUGUUGUGACUUUAGCCUUUCCCUCUGUUGUGACUUUAGCCUUUCCCUCUGUUGUCCCGGUGGAGAGGGAGGCUAUCUGUGUAGGAGCUCUAUCCAGCUGUAUCCUGCUGUGGUCUUGUGACCUGAUGGUAAUCGGUGAUGUGAUGGUGCUCAGAGACCAUGUGUUCCCUAUUAGAGUAAAUGUCUAAUAUUUUUGUCUUAUACAUGGAGCGCAGGACCACUAAUAGCCUCAUGAGACCUCUAGCCUCAACUAGAGGGGGGUCUCUAGCCUCAACUUGAGGAUGGUGGCCUCAACUUGAGAAUGGUGGCCUCAACUUGAGAAUGGUGGCCUCAACUAGAGGAUGGUGGCCUCAACUAGAGGAUGGUGGCCUCAACUAGAGGAUGGUGGCCUCUACUAGAGGAUGGUGGCCUCUACUAGAGGAUGGUGGCCUCUACUAGAGGAUGGUGGCCUCUACUAGAGGAUGGUGGCCUCUACUAGAGGAUGGUGGCCUCUACUAGAGGAUGGUGGCCUCUACUAGAGGAUGGUGGCCUCUACUAGAGGAUGGUGGCCUCUACUAGAGGAUGGUGGCCUCUACUAGAGGAUGGUGGCCUCUACUAGAGGAUGGUGGCCUCUACUAGAGGAUGGUGGCCUCUACUAGAGGAUGGUGGCCUCUACUAGAGGAUGGUGGCCUCUACUAGAGGAUGGUGGCCUCUACUAGAGGAUGGUGGCCUCUACUAGAGGAUGGUGGCCUCUACUAGAGGAUGGUGGCCUCUACUAGAGGAUGGUGGCCUCUACUAGAGGAUGGUGGCCUCUAGCUUCAAUUCAUCUCUCAUUCACUCUCCAUGUCUCCUGCUUUCUGUUUCAUCAUGAUAUUCUGGAACAAAGCAGUAUUGUUGGUGUCAUGGUAUCUCUCCCCUGAAUUUGUGCCUUAAACAACCCAAUACACAAUACUUAGCCCAAUACACAAUACUUAGCCCAAUACAGCCCAAUGCACAAUUCUUAGCCCAAUAAGGGGCGGCAGGGCCAGUAACCGAAGGGUUGCUAGAUCAAAUCCCCGAGCUGACAAAGUUAAAAAUCUGUCGUCCUGCCCCUGAACAGGCAGUCAACCCACUGUUCCUAGGCUGUCAUUGUAAAUAAGAAUUUGUUCUUAACUGAUUUGCCCAGUUAAAUAAAGGUAAAAAGAACCUCACAAAAAACAAUACUUAACCCGAUACAAUCCAAUACACAACACACUUGAACCCAAUACUACACAAUACUUAACCCAAUACUACACAAUACUUAGGCCAAUCAAAUCACAUUUUAUUUGUCACAUUCAGUGAAAUGCAGUGAAAUGCUUACUUACAUGCCCUUAACCAACAAUGCAGUUAACAAAAUACCUUUUUAAAAAAGUAAGAAAAAGAAUGACAAAAAAUUAAAGUGCAGCAGUAAAUAAUAGCAGGCUAUAUACAGAUGGUAAUUUGUACAUCUAGGUAGAAUUAUUAAAGUGACUAUGCAUAGAUAAGAGUAGCAACGUUGGGAGGGGGUUGGGAGCAAUGCAAAUGGUCUGGGUCGCCAUUUCAUUAGCUGUUCAGGAGUCUUAUAGCUUGGGGGUAGAAGCUGUUUAGAAGCCUCUUGGACCUUGACUUGGUGCUCUGGUACCGCUUGCCAUGCGGUACCAGAGAGAACAGUCUAUGACAAGGGUGACUGGAGUCUUUGACCAUUUUUAGGACCUUCCUUUGACAUCUCUUGGUAUAGAGGUGCUGGAUGGCAGGCAGCUUGGCCCCGAUGAUGUACUGGGCCGUACGCACUACCCUCUGUCGUGCCAUGCGGUCAGAGGCUGAGCAGUUGCCGUACCAGGCAGUGAUGCAACCAGUCAGGAUGCUCUCGAUGUUGCAGCUGUAAACCCUUUUGAGGAUCUGAGGACCCAUGCCAAAUCUUUUCAGUCUCCUGAGGGGGAAUAGGUUUGUCGUGCCCUUUUCACGACUGUCUUGGUGUGCUUGGACCAUGUUAGUUUAUUGAGGUGGACGCUCUCAACCUGCUCCACUACAGCCCCGUCGAUGAGAAUGGGGACGUGCUCGGUCCUCUUUUUCUUGUAGUCACAAUCAUCUCCUUAGUCUUGGUUACGUUGAGGGGUAGGUUGUUAUUCUGGCACCACCCGGUCAGGUCUCUGACCUCCUCCCUAUAGGCUGUCUCGUCGUUGUCGGUGAUCAGGCCUACCACUGUUGUAUCGUCUGCAAACUUAAUGAUGGUUUUGGAGUCGUGCCUGGCCAUGCAGUUGUGGGUGAACAGGGAGUACAGGAGGGGACUGAGCACGUACCCCUGAGGGCCCCUGUGUUGAGGAUUAGCGUGGCGGAUGUAUUGUUACCUACCCUUACCACCUGGUGGAGGCCCGUCAGGAAGUCCAGGAUCCAGUUGCUUAGGGAGGUGUUUAGUCCCAGGAUCCUUACUUUAGUGAUGAGCUUUGAGGGUACUAUGGUGUUGAAUGCUGAGCUGUCGUCAAUGUAUAGCAUUCUCAUGUAAGUGUUCCCUUUGACCAGUUGGGAAAGGGCAGUGUGGAGUGCAAUAGCGAUUGCAUCAUCUGUGGAUCUGUUUGGGAGGUAUGCAAAUUGGAGUGGCUCUAGGGUUUUUGGGAUAAUGGCAUUGAUGUUAGCCAUGACCAGCCUUUCAAAGCACUUCAUGGCUACAGACGUGAGUGCUACCGGUCGCUAGUCAUUUAGGCAAGUUACCUUAGUGUUCUUGGGCACAGGGACUAUGGUGGUCUGCUUGAAACAUGUUGGUAUUGCAGACUCCGUCAGGGAGGGGUUGAAAUUGUGUUCAAAACAAGUUACAAACAAAAUAGCAUGGUUGGUUAAGAGCCAAUAAGAUGGCAGCCAUCCCCUCCGGCGCCAUCUUCACUAGUCCAAUACAACCCAAUACUUAACCCAAUACUACACAAUACUUAGCCCAAAACAACCCUGUACUUAAACCAAUACUUAGCCCAAUAUGUAACCCAAUACACAAUACUCAGCACAAUAUAACCCAAGACACAGUACUUAGCCCAAUACACAAUACUUAACCUGAUACAACCCAACCCAGGCUGUAUCACAACUGUCCGUGAUUGGGAGUCCCAUAGGCCGGCGUACAAUUGGCCCAGUGUAGUCCGGGUUUGGCCGGUGUAGGCCGUCAUUGUAAAUAAGAAUAUGGUCUUAACUGACUUGCCUAGUUAAAUAAAAAAUAACCCAAUACACAAUACUUGUCCCAAUACACAAUACUUGGCCCAAUACACAAUACUUGGCCCAAUACACAAUACUUGGCCCAAUACACAUUACUUGGCCCAAUACACAUUACUUGGCCCAAUACACUAUACUUGGCCCAAUACACUAUACUUGGCCCAAUACACUAUACUUGGCCCAAUACACUAUACUUGGCCCAAUACACUAUACUUGGCCCAAUACACUAUACUUGGCCCAAUACACUAUACUUGGCCCAAUACACUACACUUGGCCCAAUACACUAUACUUGGCCCAAUACACUACACAUAACCUAAUACAACUCUACUUAAUCGCCUCAAGAAACGUGUGUGUGUGUGUGUGUGU
This is a long non-coding RNA of Oncorhynchus keta (chum salmon), 4947 nucleotides long. RefSeq lists it as uncharacterized. The record is from RefSeq and is a predicted model, not a curated record. Lineage: Eukaryota; Metazoa; Chordata; Actinopteri; Salmoniformes; Salmonidae. The transcript is spliced from 3 exons.